This 612-nucleotide long non-coding RNA is filed under the name Bos indicus x Bos taurus (hybrid cattle). RNAcentral's name for it is "lncRNA (ENSBIXG00005010021.1)". The record is from RNAcentral. Lineage: Eukaryota; Metazoa; Chordata; Mammalia; Artiodactyla; Bovidae.
CAAUCUUUCCCUAAGGCAUAUUUGGCAGGGUCUAAUAUUUUAUUACUUAUAAUCUCAAGUCCAUACAGGGUGCUUUUUGAUGUCACCUCUAAUUAUAUUCACAUACUGAAGUACACAUGUUACCAGUUAUAAAGUUGUACUGACCUUUGUCAUUAAAAAAAAAAAACUAAAAGCUAAAAAAUGUGUUCAAAGGACUUUCACUUUCAAUUGGCAGAAAAUCUAGCCCAAACUCAUUUUAUAAAAGGAGCUGACUCACUCACUAAACUGAAAUACAUAGGAGAGGCCUGGUUUUCUCUCUGUUUCUCUCUUCUCCUUUGCUUCCUCUCUUCUUUCCUGUUUUCUCUCUUUUGCUCUCUCCACUGUUGCAUCUCUUCCAGGUCUCCAUCUGCCCUCAUACUUAUGCAGGUUUCCCAUCACAAGCAGAAGAUGGCUUCAGCAUUCUCAGAUCUCACAUCUUCUAAGAUUCAGUCUAGCAGGAGGGAGAAUUCUCCAGUUUCUUUCCAGCAUUUCUGGAUUUUUCAAGAGAACUUUGGAGUUCCUGGGGGAUGUGUUCUGGUGAUUCUUCCAGAAGAAGAGACAAGUUGGCAGAGAAGGACAGAGGAUGAAUCCUGA